This 450-nucleotide ribosomal RNA is filed under the name uncultured bacterium. RNAcentral describes it as "bacterial SSU rRNA". It matches the Rfam family "Bacterial small subunit ribosomal RNA", at positions 329 to 793 of the family's 1533-position model. The record is from RNAcentral.
GGCCAGACUCCUACGGGAGGCAGCAGUGGGGAAUAUUGGGCAAUGGGCGCAAGCCUGACCCAGCAACGCCGCGUGAAGGAAGAAGGCUUUCGGGUUGUAAACUUCUUUUCUCAGGGACGAAGAAAGUGACGGUACCUGAGGAAUAAGCCACGGCUAACUACGUGCCAGCAGCCGCGGUAAUACGUAGGUGGCAAGCGUUAUCCGGAUUUACUGGGUGUAAAGGGCGUGCAGCCGGGAAGACAAGUCAGAUGUGAAAUCCCGCGGCUCAACCGCGGAACUGCAUUUGAAACUGUUUUUCUUGAGUACCGGAGAGGUCAUCGGAAUUCCUUGUGUAGCGGUGAAAUGCGUAGAUAUAAGGAAGAACACCAGUGGCGAAGGCAGCAUGCCGGCUUCCGACUGACGCUGAAGCACGAAAGCGUGGGGAUCGAACAGGAUUAGAUACCCGCGUAC